CCCUUAGAUGUCCUUGGCCGCACGCGCGCUACACUGACAUGUUCAACAAGCCUCCUAGUUCGACAGGAUUUGGGAAAUCUUUGAACGCAUGUCGUGAUAGGGAUAGAUCAUUGCAAUUAUUGAUCUUGAACGAGGAAUUCCUAGUAAACGCGAGUCAUCAGCUCGCAUUGAUUACGUCCCUGCCCUUUGUACACACCGCCCGUCGCACCUACCGAUUGAAUGUUUCGGUGAAGAUUCCGGAUAGGACUUUUUUGAUUUAUUUCAAUUUCGUCUUAAAAGCUAUCUAAACCUCAACAUUUAGAGGAAGGUGAAGUCGUAACA
RNAcentral lists this ribosomal RNA (321 nucleotides) under uncultured eukaryote. RNAcentral's name for it is "partial 18S ribosomal RNA". It matches the Rfam family "Eukaryotic small subunit ribosomal RNA", at positions 1470 to 1796 of the family's 1831-position model. The record is from RNAcentral.